RNAcentral lists this ribosomal RNA (468 nucleotides) under uncultured bacterium. RNAcentral's name for it is "partial 16S ribosomal RNA". It matches the Rfam family "Bacterial small subunit ribosomal RNA", at positions 28 to 507 of the family's 1533-position model. The record is from RNAcentral.
GACGAACGCUGGCGGCGUGCUUAACACAUGCAAGUCGAACGGAAAGGCCCUGCUUUUGUUGGUUGCUCGAUUGGCGAACGGGUGAGUAACACGUGAGUAACCUGCCCUUGACUUUGUGAUAACUUCAGGAAACUGGGGCUAAUACCGCAUAUGAGCUCCUGCUCCAUGUUGGGGGUUGGAAAGUUUCGGCGGUUGGGGAUGGACUCGCGGCUUAUCAGCUUGUUGGUGGGGUAGUGGCUUACCAAGGCUUUGACGGGUAGCCGGCCUGAGAGGGUGACCGGCCACAUUGGGACUGAGAUACGGCCCAGACUCCUACGGGAGGCAGCAGUGGGGAAUAUUGCACAAUGGGCGGAAGCGUGAUGCAGCAACGCCGCGUGCGGGAUGACGGCCUACGGGUUGUAAACAGAUUUCGAAUGUGACGAAGCGUGAGUGACGGUAAUGAGUAAAGAAGCACCGGCUAACUACGUG